UCCGAUAUCGUUCAGCGGUUAGGAUAUGUGGUUUUCAUCCACAGGAUCGGGGUUCGACUCCCCGUAUCGGAA
Non-coding RNA from Trichomonas vaginalis G3, 72 nucleotides. The record is from Rfam. Lineage: Eukaryota; Parabasalia; Trichomonadida; Trichomonadidae.